This is a non-coding RNA of Parelaphostrongylus tenuis, 73 nucleotides long. The record is from the annotation of a GenBank genome assembly. Lineage: Eukaryota; Metazoa; Nematoda; Chromadorea; Rhabditida; Metastrongylidae.
GCGUCGAUGGUGCAAGGGAUAGAACCUGCGCCUCAGAUUGAGUGAAACGCGGGUUCAAAUCCCGCCUGACGCA